UCCGAAUUGGUGUAGUGGCUAACAUUUGACGCUCUCAAGAUUUCCACAUAUCUUAGAACCGUCAAGCCCGGGGUUCGAUUCCCCGAUUCGGAG
RNAcentral lists this transfer RNA (93 nucleotides) under Annulohypoxylon stygium. RNAcentral's name for it is "tRNA-Glu". It matches the Rfam family "tRNA". From Rfam's summary of the family: Transfer RNA (tRNA) molecules are approximately 80 nucleotides in length. Their secondary structure includes four short double-helical elements and three loops (D, anti-codon, and T loops). Lineage: Eukaryota; Fungi; Ascomycota; Sordariomycetes; Xylariales; Hypoxylaceae. The record is from RNAcentral.